Molecule: ribosomal RNA, 433 nt
Filed under: uncultured bacterium
Lineage: Bacteria
Description: partial 16S ribosomal RNA
Rfam family: Bacterial small subunit ribosomal RNA
Source: RNAcentral
AACGAACGCUGGCGGCAUGCCUAACACAUGCAAGUCGAACGAGACCUUCGGGUCUAGUGGCGCCCGGGUGCGUAACGCGUGGGAACCUUCCCUUAGGUUCGGAAUAACUCCCCGAAAGGGGUGCUAAUACCGGAUAAUGUCUUCGGACCAAAGAUUUAUCGCCCUUGGUUGUGCCCGCGUUGGAUUAGCUCGUUGGUAGGGUAAAAGCCUACCAAGGCGACCAUUCAUAGCUGGUCUGAGAGGAUGAUCAGCGACACUGGGACUGAGACGCGGCCCAGACUCCUACGGGAGGCAGGAGUGGGGAAUAGUGGACAAUGGGGGAAAGGCUGAUCCAGCAAUGCCGCGUGAGUGAUGAAGGCCGUAGGGUUGUAAAGCUCUUUUAACCGGGAUGAUAAUGACAGUACCGGGAGAAUAAGCUCCGGCUAACUCCGUG